Molecule: ribosomal RNA, 94 nt
Filed under: Clostridium botulinum
Lineage: Bacteria; Bacillati; Bacillota; Clostridia; Eubacteriales; Clostridiaceae
Description: partial 16S ribosomal RNA
Rfam family: Bacterial small subunit ribosomal RNA
Source: RNAcentral
UUUAAAUUUAGAGUUUGAUCCUGGCUCAGGACGAACGCUGGCGGCGUGCUUAACACAUGCAAGUCGAGCGAUGAAGCUUCCUUCGGGGAGUGGA